Molecule: transfer RNA, 73 nt
Filed under: Penaeus chinensis
Lineage: Eukaryota; Metazoa; Arthropoda; Malacostraca; Decapoda; Penaeidae
Description: tRNA-Arg
Rfam family: tRNA
About the family: Transfer RNA (tRNA) molecules are approximately 80 nucleotides in length. Their secondary structure includes four short double-helical elements and three loops (D, anti-codon, and T loops). Further hydrogen bonds mediate the characteristic L-shaped molecular structure. tRNAs have two regions of fundamental functional importance: the anti-codon, which is responsible for specific mRNA codon recognition, and the 3' end, to which the tRNAs corresponding amino acid is attached (by aminoacyl-tRNA synthetases). tRNAs cope with the degeneracy of the genetic code in two manners: having more than one tRNA (with a specific anti-codon) for a particular amino acid; and 'wobble' base-pairing, i.e. permitting non-standard base-pairing at the 3rd anti-codon position.
Source: RNAcentral
GCCGCGAUGGUCCAAUGGUUAGAGCACUAGGCUCCGAUCCUCGUGGUCCCGAGUUCAAUUCUCCGUCGCGGCG